Molecule: ribosomal RNA, 498 nt
Filed under: Phomopsis sp. FLS-2010
Lineage: Eukaryota; Fungi; Ascomycota; Sordariomycetes; Diaporthales; Diaporthaceae
Description: eukaryotic LSU rRNA
Rfam family: 5.8S ribosomal RNA (bases 174-327)
Source: RNAcentral
CUGGAACGCGCCCCGGCGCACCCAGAAACCCUUUGUGAACUUAUACCUUAUUGUUGCCUCGGGAAGGCCGGCCUCUCUUGUGAGGCCCCCCGGAGACGGGGAGCAGCCCGCCGGCGGCCAACCAAACUCUUGUUUCUUAGUGAAUCUCUGAGUAAAAAACAUAAAUGAAUCAAAACUUUCAACAUCGGAUCUCUUGGUUCUGGCAUCGAUGAAGAACGCAGCGAAAUGCGAUAAGUAAUGUGAAUUGCAGAAUUCAGUGAAUCAUCGAAUCUUUGAACGCACAUUGCGCCCUCUGGUAUUCCGGAGGGCAUGCCUGUUCGAGCGUCAUUUCAACCCUCAAGCCUGGCUUGGUGUUGGGGCACUGCCUUGGAGACAAGGCAGGCCCUGAAAUCUAGUGGCGAGCUCGCUAGGACCCCGAGCGUAGUAGUUAUAUCUCGUUCUGGAAGGCCCUGGCGGCGCCCUGCCGUUAAACCCCCAACUUCUGAAAUUUUGACCUCG